RNAcentral lists this unclassified non-coding RNA (220 nucleotides) under Hevea brasiliensis (rubber tree). The record is from RNAcentral. Lineage: Eukaryota; Viridiplantae; Streptophyta; Magnoliopsida; Malpighiales; Euphorbiaceae.
GUACAAGGAUCUCUUCACGUCUUGUCUACAAGUGAACACUUAGUCUCAACCACCAGAAAAUACAAGCAGCAUACAACUAAAAGUGAAUAUAAAUUUUCAAGGUCUAGCAAGUGGUAAAGCAGCCUCAGUCCACAUAACUGCUUCAACAGAAAUAAUAUAGUAAUUUUGAAUUUGAAUAAAUAAAAAUUAGAAUCUUAAAAAGCAUUAAAGAGGGGUUGCA